This 258-nucleotide ribosomal RNA is filed under the name uncultured bacterium. RNAcentral's name for it is "partial 16S ribosomal RNA". It matches the Rfam family "Bacterial small subunit ribosomal RNA", at positions 524 to 776 of the family's 1533-position model. The record is from RNAcentral.
UACGGAGGGUGCGAGCGUUGUCCGGAAUCAUUGGGCGUAAAGGGCGCGUAGGUGGCCGUGCUAAGCGUGCGGUGAAAGUCGGGGGCUCAACCCCCCGAUCGGCCGUGCGAACUGGGAGGCUUGAGCACUGUAGAGGCAGGCGGAAUUCCGGGUGUAGGCGGUGGAAUGCGUAGAGAUCCGGAAGAACACCGGUGGCGAAGGCGGCCUGCUGGGCAGUUGCUGGACACUGAGGCGCGACAGCGUGGGGGAGCAAACAGG